GGGUGCGAUCAUACUAGCGUUAAUGCACCGAAUCCCAUCAGAACUCCGCAGUUAAGCGAGGUUGGGCUAGAGAAGUACUGGGAUGGGUGACCUCCCGGGAAGUCCUAGCGUUGCACCCU
Picea glauca (white spruce) is the source of this 119-nucleotide non-coding RNA. The record is from Rfam. NCBI's taxonomy places the organism in Eukaryota, Viridiplantae, Streptophyta, Pinopsida, Pinales, Pinaceae.